This is a long non-coding RNA of Chinchilla lanigera (long-tailed chinchilla), 710 nucleotides long. RefSeq lists it as uncharacterized. The record is from RefSeq and is a predicted model, not a curated record. Lineage: Eukaryota; Metazoa; Chordata; Mammalia; Rodentia; Chinchillidae. The transcript has 3 exons.
CUGGGGUAGGCUCUGGGGAUAAGACCAGGCUAAGAAGAGAUUUUUGCUUUUUGCCAUGAUAAAAGGAGCUUGUGUCAAGCCAACUUCCCCUUGGAGACCAACUACAGAGGCAGAUAAAAUACAGGAAGAAGUUAAUUGGAUGCAUUGGUGAAAAAUCAAGUUAGUCAGUAAAACUCGGAUGCUGAAUGAGGAGCUACAGGACCAAGAGGCUGCAUCCAGGGUUUAUGUGCCCCCUGUUCUGCCCGGCACAGGGCACAGGAUAAACCCUGGUUGGGAACUAGACAGACAGGCAAGAGGCCCACGGUACAGGGAGCAGCACCACAGCCCUGCCCUGGGACGUGGCUCAGAGCUGGCUGCUUCCAGAACAGUGAUGACAAGCAGAAGGUCUGCGGUCCGGACAACCCAGCCACAAGGCACUUGAAGCAAGCCCUGGGACUAAGAAGUCUGAUUCUCUACAUGGGGAAUGUGAGCCCCAUGCGAGGAUGAAGCCCAGGAAGGGAGCAGAUGCCACAAGGGGAGGAAGGGGUGGAGGGAGGAAAGAGACAAUAAUGAGAACCCAUGGAUCGCUUGACUUACACACAAGCUGCCAAGGGAAAAAUUGAAAAAAGGCACAAGAAGAAAAUGAAAACCUUUUUUUUGGUGCUGGAGAUUUCAUCCCUUCUAUUUCAUGUGUGGAUUCUAUUUUCUUCAACUCUACAAUACAAACUUUU